This 485-nucleotide ribosomal RNA is filed under the name uncultured bacterium. Its description in RNAcentral is "bacterial SSU rRNA". It matches the Rfam family "Bacterial small subunit ribosomal RNA", at positions 30 to 518 of the family's 1533-position model. The record is from RNAcentral.
UGAACGCUGGCGGCGUAGCUUAACACAUAGCAAGUCGAACGAAGCCAAAAGGAAGCUUGCUUCUUGAAGCUUAGUGGCGGACGGGUGAGUAACGCGUGAGUAACCUGCCCUUCAGUGGGGAAUAACACAGAGAAAUCUGUGCUAAUACCGCAUAAUGUCUUCUUGCCGCAUGACAGGAAGACCAAAGGAUUUAUUCGCUGAAGGAUGGACUCGCGUCCGAUUAGCUAGUUGGUGAGGUAACGGCCCCACCAAGGCGACGAUCGGUAGCCGAACUGAGAGGUUGAUCGGCCACAUUGGGACUGAGACACGGCCCAGACUCCUACGGGAGGCAGCAGUGGGGAAUAUUGGGCAAUGGGCGAAAAAGCCUGACCCAGCAACGCCGCGUGAAGGAAGACGGUCUUCGGAUUGUAAACUUCUUUGAUUGGGGAAGAAACAAAUGACCUACCCAAAGAACAAGUCACGGCUAACUACGUGCCAGCAGCGGC